Molecule: ribosomal RNA, 2771 nt
Filed under: Klebsiella pneumoniae subsp. pneumoniae
Lineage: Bacteria; Pseudomonadati; Pseudomonadota; Gammaproteobacteria; Enterobacterales; Enterobacteriaceae
Description: bacterial LSU rRNA
Rfam family: Bacterial large subunit ribosomal RNA
Source: RNAcentral
AGCGUACACGGUGGAUGCCCUGGCAGUCAGAGGCGAUGAAGGACGUGCUAAUCUGCGAAAAGCGUCGGUAAGGUGAUAUGAACCGUUAUAACCGGCGAUGUCCGAAUGGGGAAACCCAGUGUGAUUCGUCACACUAUCGUUAACUGAAUACAUAGGUUAACGAGGCGAACCGGGGGAACUGAAACAUCUAAGUACCCCGAGGAAAAGAAAUCAACCGAGAUUCCCCCAGUAGCGGCGAGCGAACGGGGAGCAGCCCAGAGUCUGAAUCAGCUUGUGUGUUAGUGGAACGGUCUGGAAAGUCCGACGGUACAGGGUGAUAGUCCCGUACACCAAAAUGCACAGGCUGUGAACUCGAAGAGUAGGGCGGGACACGUGGUAUCCUGUCUGAAUAUGGGGGGACCAUCCUCCAAGGCUAAAUACUCCUGACUGACCGAUAGUGAACCAGUACCGUGAGGGAAAGGCGAAAAGAACCCCGGCGAGGGGAGUGAAAAAGAACCUGAAACCGUGUACGUACAAGCAGUGGGAGCACCUUCGGGUGUGACUGCGUACCUUUUGUAUAAUGGGUCAGCGACUUAUAUUCUGUAGCAAGGUUAACCGUAUAGGGGAGCCGCAGGGAAACCGAGUCUUAACUGGGCGUUAAGUUGCAGGGUAUAGACCCGAAACCCGGUGAUCUAGCCAUGGGCAGGUUGAAGGUUGGGUAACACUAACUGGAGGACCGAACCGACUAAUGUUGAAAAAUUAGCGGAUGACUUGUGGCUGGGGGUGAAAGGCCAAUCAAACCGGGAGAUAGCUGGUUCUCCCCGAAAGCUAUUUAGGUAGCGCCUCGUGAACUCAUCUUCGGGGGUAGAGCACUGUUUCGGCUAGGGGGUCAUCCCGACUUACCAACCCGAUGCAAACUACGAAUACCGAAGAAUGUUAUCACGGGAGACACACGGCGGGUGCUAACGUCCGUCGUGAAGAGGGAAACAACCCAGACCGCCAGCUAAGGUCCCAAAGUCAUGGUUAAGUGGGAAACGAUGUGGGAAGGCACAGACAGCCAGGAUGUUGGCUUAGAAGCAGCCAUCAUUUAAAGAAAGCGUAAUAGCUCACUGGUCGAGUCGGCCUGCGCGGAAGAUGUAACGGGGCUAAACCAUGCACCGAAGCUGCGGCAGCGACACUAUGUGUUGUUGGGUAGGGGAGCGUUCUGUAAGCCUGCGAAGGUGUGCUGUGAGGCAUGCUGGAGGUAUCAGAAGUGCGAAUGCUGACAUAAGUAACGAUAAAGCGGGUGAAAAGCCCGCUCGCCGGAAGACCAAGGGUUCCUGUCCAACGUUAAUCGGGGCAGGGUGAGUCGACCCCUAAGGCGAGGCCGAAAGGCGUAGUCGAUGGGAAACAGGUUAAUAUUCCUGUACUUGGUGUUACUGCGAAGGGGGGACGGAGAAGGCUAUGUUAGCCGGGCGACGGUUGUCCCGGUUUAAGCAUGUAGGCUGGUUAUCCAGGCAAAUCCGGAUAAUCAAGGCUGAGGUGUGAUGACGAGGCACUACGGUGCUGAAGUAACAAAUGCCCUGCUUCCAGGAAAAGCCUCUAAGCAUCAGGUAACAUCAAAUCGUACCCCAAACCGACACAGGUGGUCAGGUAGAGAAUACCAAGGCGCUUGAGAGAACUCGGGUGAAGGAACUAGGCAAAAUGGUGCCGUAACUUCGGGAGAAGGCACGCUGGUGUGUAGGUGAAGUCCCUGCGGAUGGAGCUGAGACCAGUCGAAGAUACCAGCUGGCUGCAACUGUUUAUUAAAAACACAGCACUGUGCAAACACGAAAGUGGACGUAUACGGUGUGACGCCUGCCCGGUGCCGGAAGGUUAAUUGAUGGGGUUAUCCGUAAGGAGAAGCUCUUGAUCGAAGCCCCGGUAAACGGCGGCCGUAACUAUAACGGUCCUAAGGUAGCGAAAUUCCUUGUCGGGUAAGUUCCGACCUGCACGAAUGGCGUAAUGAUGGCCAGGCUGUCUCCACCCGAGACUCAGUGAAAUUGAACUCGCUGUGAAGAUGCAGUGUACCCGCGGCAAGACGGAAAGACCCCGUGAACCUUUACUAUAGCUUGACACUGAACAUUGAGCCUUGAUGUGUAGGAUAGGUGGGAGGCUUUGAAGCGUGGACGCCAGUCUGCGUGGAGCCAACCUUGAAAUACCACCCUUUAAUGUUUGAUGUUCUAACGUUGGCCCCUGACCGGGGUUGCGGACAGUGUCUGGUGGGUAGUUUGACUGGGGCGGUCUCCUCCCAAAGCGUAACGGAGGAGCACGAAGGUUAGCUAAUCCUGGUCGGACAUCAGGAGGUUAGUGCAAUGGCAUAAGCUAGCUUGACUGCGAGCGUGACGGCGCGAGCAGGUGCGAAAGCAGGUCAUAGUGAUCCGGUGGUUCUGAAUGGAAGGGCCAUCGCUCAACGGAUAAAAGGUACUCCGGGGAUAACAGGCUGAUACCGCCCAAGAGUUCAUAUCGACGGCGGUGUUUGGCACCUCGAUGUCGGCUCAUCACAUCCUGGGGCUGAAGUAGGUCCCAAGGGUAUGGCUGUUCGCCAUUUAAAGUGGUACGCGAGCUGGGUUUAGAACGUCGUGAGACAGUUCGGUCCCUAUCUGCCGUGGGCGCUGGAGAAUUGAGGGGGGCUGCUCCUAGUACGAGAGGACCGGAGUGGACGCAUCACUGGUGUUCGGGUUGUCAUGCCAAUGGCACUGCCCGGUAGCUAAAUGCGGAAGAGAUAAGUGCUGAAAGCAUCUAAGCACGAAACUUGCCCCGAGAUGAGUUCU